This 1460-nucleotide long non-coding RNA is filed under the name Heterocephalus glaber (naked mole-rat). RNAcentral describes it as "lncRNA (ENSHGLG00100045948.1)". Lineage: Eukaryota; Metazoa; Chordata; Mammalia; Rodentia; Bathyergidae. The record is from RNAcentral.
GAUUGCUUUCCCUUGAUUGAAAUAAGUAGAAAAAGUGUAUUUUGAACUAAGAAUAUUGAUUUAAGUAUUAAAGGAAGGUGAGCUCAAUAUUCUAAAGCAAAUGACUGGACAGGGAUGAAAAGUAAGAAAGAAUCCAGAAGUAAAUUAUUUGUCAUGUGACAAGAGAACCAAAGAGCUUGAAGUAAAGAGAAAUAUGUACAGAUGUGUAAACAGGCUGGCAAUUGAGAAAAAAAACCCUUCUUUUGGUUGAGUUCUACUGUAUUUGAAUAUUAUUGUAGUUUUUUUCCCUUUGCAUUGUUCUUCUUUGGAUGGUUUUAAUUUUUAAUUUUUUGUAUAUGUGUGUGUGUUUGAUAAUAAAAUUACUUUAUUUUAUUUUAUUUUAUGUUUUAAAAAGUCCUCCCCCUCACUUGGAACACACCCAUCCCAUGUUCUUGCCACUUCCUGAAGCAGCUCUGGAGUCCUCUUUCCUGGGCGUCUAUAGUUGUGCUAUCCUAGCUGCCUCGAUGUCCUGAAUGGAUUCAAAACGGUUCCCUGUCAUGGUCAUUUUGACUUUGGGGAAGACCUGGAAGUCACAUAGUGCCGGAUCCAGUGAUUAAGGACAGGAAGGAAAUUCUGCUGGCUUCUAGAGGAUACAGGCCAAGGAGGCUGGGUGAAGGGAAGAAAGAGAAAAGAAAAAAAAGAGAAUAGAAGGAAACAAAUGGAAACAAAACUUUUCUGCUACUGUGCACAGCACGAGCUCGAUUCUCAAAGUUGAAUGAUGGAAAGAAUAAUGCAGAAUGAAGGAAUGGGCAGACAUACACUAGUUCAACACAGGUACCAUCCUCUGGUCCUUGUCGCGACAUCAAAAGAUUGCUUCUGAUGACUUUUAAACAUAGGGCUCAAAAUUUCCAGCCCAGAAUAGUUUUCAGAGCUUUCCUUUGCAAUCCACCCAAAUCUUCAAACCAGCUCUGGCCAGCAAGCCUCAGGCAAGCAAAGUAUCAUUGAACUCCUUAAGGAACUGCGUUUCUUUUGACCAACACAUUCCUUCAGAAUAACACAAGAGACUCUGUCUAGCCCUCUGGGAGUACAAAAAGAGAACAAAAAGAGGGCUAGUUUUGAUAGUGACAGCAGUCACACACCUAUAGACUUAAACACAUGUGCCAGUAAUUAUUAAACAGUUUUUCUCUUUUAAGCAAUAGCCAAAAGAUAGGUAAAGAGAGGGAUAGAAGCAUUCUUUGAGGGAUUUAUGGAAGCAUGAGCAAAGUUUUCCAAACCUAGUAUAGGAUAUAAGCAAGCAAAUCAUAGUGUUUUUAAGAGCUUCUCCCCUUGCUGGCUUUAGGCAAAGUGCUGCUGUAGCUGAUCCUCAAUGGAGCUCAGUUUUGCGCACUGUGACUCCUCUACUUCAAUCUGAACUCCUUGGGGAUUAUUCUAAAGAUGCCAGCGAGGCAGCAUAAUCAUACCUCUGCAAGCUACUGCUCCUU